Herpailurus yagouaroundi (jaguarundi) is the source of this 1110-nucleotide long non-coding RNA. RefSeq lists it as uncharacterized. The transcript is spliced from 2 exons. The record is from RefSeq and is a predicted model, not a curated record. Lineage: Eukaryota; Metazoa; Chordata; Mammalia; Carnivora; Felidae.
CUAGAGCUGUUUCUGCAAACAGGCAACCGGGGUUCUCUUGCUUCUGUCAAGUGCAAGGCUGUGUCCCAGAGACCGAGCACUUGGCCUACGUCGUGUUCCGCUGCGGGUGCCCCCCUGUCUGGCCCCUUCCUUGGGUGUAGGGGAAGGCCAGAAGUUAACUCGAUGCUGUGCUUACUCACUCUGCUCUUGGUGUGACGUGCCCUGAACACCACGGGAUGGCAUCACAAUGAGACUAGUCUGGCAUCCACAGGGCAUCCAGAGUCAGCGGCCCAGGUGAACUGGCCACCAGCCGGGAGCCAGGACCCUGUCUGGGGUUAACAGAGGUUUUCAGAGGCGGGGAGAGGACCCCCACGGCUUCUCUUUGUUUUGUGCUAGCUGCUUGGAGCCGGUUGGAGGACACAGGGAGAGAUAAUGGCCCAAGGAAGGCUUAGGCGUCCCUUUGUUAUGGUUUAUUUCAAGCCACUUGAAGAGGCCCUUUAUUCUUCUGUUUGCUCCUAGUACUUCAAAGCUGGAGGGUUUUUCUUAGGGGGGGAAGAGGGGGUUAUCUGAGUCCUAAGCAGCUGGAGGGAGGUUGGAGGUUGCCAGUGAAUGGGGCUCAGGGGCUGCUUAUUGAGAAGCAGUCAAAAAAGAGAGGAAGAAAAAAGAAACAAUUUGGUUUUGUACUUACAGCGAGAGCCGUCCAUCUCCUACUUGAGUUGCUAAGACUUGGUGAAGACAAAGAUGGUUUGCGCUUCUGGAAACAAAUCAUCUCACACUUUCCCGUGCCAAUCCAUCACCUGGGAGGCUUUUUCCCAAAGGCCCUUCCCAGGACUCACUGGAGGGGGCAUGGAUAUUGAGCUGGGCCUGGAGGAAUCUGCACUCUAAUCUGAGUGCCCUGGGAAGGAGGUGUGGGGCCUCCCCCUGACAAGGCUUCCGAAGCCAUUAGAGAAAUUCGGGGUCCUGGGGCACCACGGUUGCCUGGCCAAAGGCAGCUGGUAAUAUUCUGGAUUACUUUGCUCCGGAUUCCUAACCCCCUGUGGCUCCCUGGGAAAUUCUUGCCCCUGUUAAGGGGGAGAUGGAACAAAGGAGGAUAAAAAAAAAAAAGGAGCCAGACCCUUUUAUCCCUUCUGG